This is a non-coding RNA of Trichonephila inaurata madagascariensis, 73 nucleotides long. NCBI's taxonomy places the organism in Eukaryota, Metazoa, Arthropoda, Arachnida, Araneae, Nephilidae. The record is from the annotation of a GenBank genome assembly.
GUCCCUGUAGCGCAAUGGAUAGCAUGUUGGAUUUCUAAUCCGUAGGUCGUAGGUUCGAAUCCUACCUGGGAUG